AAGCAUGAAUUUGCAGCUGGAAGAUUUCCCUCGAUCAUAUUCCAGUGGUUCUUAAAUUUUGAUGUACAUAAGAAUCACCAGGGAAAUCUGAUUGAAGUUCAGGUUUCCAGCUUCAGCUCCAGAGAUUCUAGCUCAGCGGGUGUUAGAUGUGACCCAGGGCUCUACCCAUUUAAAAUGAGCUUCCGAUGAGGUUGGUCCGUGUAGCCUAUUCUUUGGGAAAUGCUGGCCUAAUGGCUAAAAACAUGAAUUGGAAACCAAGCACAAGAAGGAGCAAGCUGAUACUUCUGCCAGCAGCAUGACAUUGGGCUGCUGCUAGCCUCAGUUACUCUUCUGUAAAAAGGCAGUAAUGGCCAGGUGCUGUGCCUCACGCAUGUAAUCCCAGCACUUUAGGAGGCCAAAAAGUGGGAGGAUCGUUUGAGCCCAGGAGUUCAAGACCAGCCUGGGCAACAUGGCAAGAUCCCAUCUCUAUUUUUUUUUAAAGUCAGGCAAAAUUCACAGGGCUGUUGCAGGAGAAAAUGGGAUCCUAAUAUAAAGAGCUUGAUUCAGGCUCUGGUCAUGGCAGGCACCAGUACAUCCCAGCUCUUAUUAUUUGUGGUAUUAAUCCUAAUUAUCUGCAAGUUACAGGGCCAGAGAAGACUAGGGGAGUUCGGGUUUUCUAGACCAAACAGACACUCAGUCCUGGGCCUGGAGGUCUCUGCAGUGAGGUGCUGCCACAGACAGAGCCACCUUAACUCCUCAGGACAACCAGUGGCUUCCGACACACACUAUGCACUGGAGGGCAAGCAGCUCUCAGCUUGGGAGCAACUGAGGAUGGUGAACAGCCUGGGCAAGGAGUGCUCUGAGGCUAAGACCCUGAACA
Molecule: long non-coding RNA, 859 nt
Filed under: Homo sapiens (human)
Lineage: Eukaryota; Metazoa; Chordata; Mammalia; Primates; Hominidae
Description: non-protein coding ACTA2-AS1:5
Source: RNAcentral